RNAcentral lists this long non-coding RNA (451 nucleotides) under Setaria viridis. Its description in RNAcentral is "long non-coding RNA (SVIR_LNC010863)". Lineage: Eukaryota; Viridiplantae; Streptophyta; Magnoliopsida; Poales; Poaceae. The record is from RNAcentral.
GACGCCGCUCCCUUUUGGCUUGACGGGGCCACGGCGCAUUUAUGGUGAGGUCGACAGGGGGACCCACAAGAUCGUUAUCCUGAUCCUCCAGUCCGCACCCGAGGGGAAUAUCCGUCUCGUGGACCCGAGUGAGUCCGACCCUUGCGCCCAGGGUCGGGCAAGGGGGAGUUUCGGCGGUGGGGGUCGGGCGCUCCCGACCCCAGUUCCCUGGGUUGGACAAGGCGGAACCUUGCGGCGAGAGGUCGGGCGCUCCCGACCCUGGGACCGCGGUCGGGCGAGGCGGAGUCCCUCCAUCGCGGGGUCGGGAUUGUCCGACCCCGGGGCCCCGGGUAAGGCAAGACGGAGUAGGGUGUUCUCUGCCUUCACUGGGCCGGAUGUAAUCGUUACCGCAGGUGGGUCCGAGCCUUCAUGACUGUCGCCUUGAGCGGUAUUAGGAGGUCGUUAAUAUUCC